GACGAACGCUGGCGGCGUGCUUAACACAUGCAAGUCGAACGGAAAGGCCUUUUCAGAGGUACUCGAGUGGCGAACGGGUGCGUAACACGUGGGUGAUCUGCCCUGCACUCUGGGAUAAGCCUGGGAAACUGGGUCUAAUACCGGAUAGGACCGCACUUUAGUGUGUGUGGUGGAAAGUUUUUUCGGUGUAGGAUGAGCCCGCGGCCUAUCAGCUUGUUGGUGGGGUAAUGGCCUACCAAGGCGGCGACGGGUAGCCGGACUGAGAGGUUGGUCGGCCACAUUGGGACUGAGAUACGGCCCAGACUCCUACGGGAGGCAGCAGUGGGGAAUAUUGCACAAUGGGCGCAAGCCUGAUGCAGCGACGCCGCGUGGGGGAUGACGGCCUUCGGGUUGUAAACUCCUUUCGCCAGGGACGAAGCGUUUUGUGACGGUACCUGGAGAAGAAGCACCGGCUAACUACGUG
Molecule: ribosomal RNA, 463 nt
Filed under: uncultured bacterium
Lineage: Bacteria
Description: partial 16S ribosomal RNA
Rfam family: Bacterial small subunit ribosomal RNA
Source: RNAcentral